GUGCGGGAUAUAGCUUGAAACCAAAAUUUUUUUCAGGAGAUCAUGAUUGUGUUCCUCAUUUUCUAGGUGCCUGCUUUGAGACCCUGGGGUAUGACCCACUUGUGCUGCUCAAGUUGACUUGAAUGGUGUGACAAAUGUAGUCUCUUUAUUUUGCUACGAGAUGCAGACAGAUCACUUUGCCAGCUGUCAAGGCAAAUAUUGCUGUAUAGUCCUUGGUCUCAACAACAUAUUUAGUAUCCUGGUGAUGGGUGCCUUCAAAGGACUGGACAGAACAAACUUCAUACUGCACCUGUGUUUUAGGUUCUCUGCUCUGCAGAAAGCUGCACUGUUUGGAAGAAGUGAGAUUGUCUUUCCUUACAGCUGCGACGCUGCACCACUCUCGACAUAGCCUGCUUUUCCCCCCAUUUACCUGGGCGGCUGCUGCUGUUUCUGCUGCUGCUGGGGCUGCUGCAGUCUCACUGCCUGCGCUUCACCCUGGCUUGUCUGACUCGAGACUCACUCGUCUGCACAUUGCUAAGGAAGAAGAGCCAUGGAGCCGCAUUUUUUUCUGUUGGUUCUGGAAGCAAAGGGUUGUG
RNAcentral lists this long non-coding RNA (575 nucleotides) under Apteryx rowi (Okarito brown kiwi). RNAcentral's name for it is "lncRNA (ENSARWG00000011289.1)". Lineage: Eukaryota; Metazoa; Chordata; Aves; Apterygiformes; Apterygidae. The record is from RNAcentral.